GGAGGUAUGGCUCAGUGGUAGAGCACCAGCCUAGCAAGCACAGUGCCCUGAGUUCAAACCCAAGUACCUCCC
This 72-nucleotide transfer RNA is filed under the name Dipodomys ordii (Ord's kangaroo rat). It matches the Rfam family "tRNA". From Rfam's summary of the family: Transfer RNA (tRNA) molecules are approximately 80 nucleotides in length. The record is from Rfam by way of RNAcentral. Lineage: Eukaryota; Metazoa; Chordata; Mammalia; Rodentia; Heteromyidae.